RNAcentral lists this ribosomal RNA (253 nucleotides) under uncultured bacterium. RNAcentral describes it as "partial 16S ribosomal RNA". It matches the Rfam family "Bacterial small subunit ribosomal RNA", at positions 524 to 776 of the family's 1533-position model. The record is from RNAcentral.
UACGGAGGAUCCAAGCGUUCUCCGGAUUUAUUGGGUUUAAAGGGUGCGUAGGCGGCCUGUUAAGUCAGGGGUGAAAGACGGUAGCUCAACUAUCGCAGUGCCCUUGAUACUGAUGGGCUUGAAUGUACUAGAGGUAGGCGGAAUGUGACAAGUAGCGGUGAAAUGCAUAGAUAUGUCACAGAACACCAAUUGCGAAGGCAGCUUGCUAUGGUAUAAUUGACGCUGAGGCACGAAAGCGUGGGGAUCAAACAGG